UUUCCCUCAGGAUAGCUGGAGCUCUUGCUGAGUUUUAUCGGGUAAAGCGAAUGAUUAGAGGCAUCGGGGGUGAAACACCCUUGACCUAUUCUCAAACUUUAAAUAGGUAAAGCAGCCGGGGUUGCUCUGUUGAGCCCCGGCCGUGAAUGCGAGCUCCAAGUGGGCCAUUUUUGGUUAAGCAGAUCGACUAGGCCGUUUUCGG
This 202-nucleotide non-coding RNA is filed under the name Selaginella moellendorffii. Its description in RNAcentral is "rRNA LSU_rRNA_eukarya". It matches the Rfam family "Eukaryotic large subunit ribosomal RNA", at positions 967 to 1170 of the family's 3401-position model. The record is from Rfam by way of RNAcentral. Lineage: Eukaryota; Viridiplantae; Streptophyta; Lycopodiopsida; Selaginellales; Selaginellaceae.